This 493-nucleotide ribosomal RNA is filed under the name uncultured archaeon. RNAcentral describes it as "bacterial SSU rRNA". It matches the Rfam family "Archaeal small subunit ribosomal RNA", at positions 339 to 833 of the family's 1478-position model. The record is from RNAcentral.
UUACGAAAACUCCGCAAUGCACGAAAGUGUGACGGGGCUAUCCCGAGUGCCGUCCGCUGAGGAUGGCUUUUCUCCAGUGUAAGGAGCUGGAGGAAUAAGGAGAGGGCAAGACUGGUGUCAGCCGCCGCGGUAAUACCAGCUCUCCGAGUGGUAGGGACGAUUAUUGGGCUUAAAGCGUCCGUAGCCGGCUCAGCAAGUCCUCCGUUAAAUCCAGCGAUUCAAUCGUUGGGCCGCGGGGGAUACUGUUGGGCUUUGGGGACGAGAGAGGCCGACGGUAUUCUCGGAGUAGGGGUGAAAUCCUAUAAUUCCGGGAGGACCACCAGUGGCGAAGGCUGUCGGCUAGAACGAGCUCGACGGUGAGGGACGAAAGCUGGGGGAGCGAACCGGAUUAGAUACCCGGGUAGUCCCAGCUGUAAACGAUGCGGGCUAGGUGUUAGGGUGGCUACGUGCCACUCUAGUGCCGCAGCGAAGGCAUUAAGCCCGCCGCCUGGGG